AUCGGCGGCGAUCUUCCUCCGAAUUCGUAUUCCUGAGCUUCUUCUCUGUUACUAUUGUAAAUUCAAUGGGGAAGAAAAAAACAGAUGAGGCUGGUGUAAGUGCGAAGGCUAAGGGAAGCAGCAAAGAUUCCAAGGAAGGGAAAAAGGAGAAGCUUUCUGUCUCUGCCAUGCUUGCCAGCAUGGACCAGAAACCUGAGAAGCCCAACAAAGGAUCUUCAGCCACUGGUGCUAGUAAGGCCAAGCCUAAAGCAGCUCCAAAAGCAUCAGCUUACACUGAUGGAAUUGAUCUUCCUCCCUCUGAUGACGAGGAAGAGGAGUAUCUUCCUGGCCCCGAAGAAGUGGAAGAACAGAUUGAUGGUAAUAGAAGGCAUAAAAGGAAUGAAGCAGGACCAAUUGAUACCUCCAUAAGUUAUAAAGAGCUAAAGAAACGAGAAAAGAAGGAUAUGCUUGCUGUUCAGGCAGCUGAGGUGGCAAAAAAGGAGGCCCUUAGGGACGAUCAUGAUGCUUUUACUGUUGUUAUUGGUAGCAGGGCAUCUGUCCUUGAAGGUCAAGAUGAUGCUGAUGCAAAUGUUAAGGAUAUAACUAUAGAGAAUUUCUCUGUAGCAGCUCGUGGAAAAGAUCUUUUAAAGAACACAUCAGUUAAGAUAUCUCAUGGGAAGAGAUAUGGUUUAGUUGGUCCCAAUGGAAUGGGCAAGUCCA
Molecule: unclassified non-coding RNA, 699 nt
Filed under: Hevea brasiliensis (rubber tree)
Lineage: Eukaryota; Viridiplantae; Streptophyta; Magnoliopsida; Malpighiales; Euphorbiaceae
Source: RNAcentral